This 292-nucleotide ribosomal RNA is filed under the name uncultured Planctomycetota bacterium. Its description in RNAcentral is "uncultured planctomycete partial 16S ribosomal RNA". The record is from RNAcentral. Lineage: Bacteria; Pseudomonadati; Planctomycetota.
GGACUACCGGGGUUUCUAAUCCCGUUUGCUCCCCUGGCUUUCGCGCCUCAGCGUCAGUAGAGGUCCAGCGGACCGCUUUCGCCACCGGCGUUCCUUCCGAUAUCAACGCAUUUCACCGCUCCACCGGAAGUUCCGUCCGCCCCUACCUCCCUCCAGCCACGCAGUAUCCCGGGCACGCUUCCGGUUGGGCCGAAAGAUUUCACCCGAGACUUACGCGGCCGCCUACGCGCCCUUUAAGCCCAGUGAUUCCGAACAACGUUCGCACGGUUCGUCUUACCGCGGCUGCUGGCAC